CCUCUGGAGAGCCUUGCGGGCACCGAAGGGGCAAGUUCCGAAUUUUUCGGGAGGAAUCUCUCAGGUUAGAAAACAGAGG
Molecule: non-coding RNA, 79 nt
Filed under: Anaerolineaceae bacterium
Lineage: Bacteria; Bacillati; Chloroflexota; Anaerolineae; Anaerolineales; Anaerolineaceae
Description: Glycine sequence
Rfam family: Glycine riboswitch aptamer
About the family: This family represents the bacterial glycine riboswitch. Glycine riboswitches usually consist of two metabolite-binding aptamers domains with similar structures in tandem.
Source: RNAcentral